Ipomoea triloba (trilobed morning glory) is the source of this 5209-nucleotide RNA transcript. It is a transcript of the gene named protein FAM91A1-like, with no coding region annotated. The record is from RefSeq and is a predicted model, not a curated record. The transcript is spliced from 7 exons. NCBI's taxonomy places the organism in Eukaryota, Viridiplantae, Streptophyta, Magnoliopsida, Solanales, Convolvulaceae.
AGUUGGAGCAUGAGGCUUGGUGAACACAUCAGCUAACUGGUUUGAAGUAUCAACAUGCAGUAGCUUUAGCACUUGUUGUUGCAGCUUCUCCCUGACGAGGUGACAGUCGAUUUCGAUGUGCUUCGUCCUCUCAUGAAAGACGGGAUUCUCAGCAAUAGCAAUAGCUGAUUUGCUGUCACAAUACAAUACAGCUGGAGAGUCCACAAUUAUCCCUAAAUCUUGCAGUAAGUAGAUUAGCCAUUGCAAUUCACAAGCUGUUGCAGCAAGGGCCAUAUACUCAGCCUCAGAGGAACUCCUAGAGAUGGUAACCUGCUUCUUUGAUUUCCAAGAAACAAAGGUGGUGUCAAGGAAAACACAAAAGCCUGUGAUAGACCUCCUGGUAUCUGGGCAUGCAACCCAGUUAGAAUCAGUGAAUCCUUUGAGUUGUAAGGAAGAGGUUGCUGAGAAGAAGAGUCCCUGCCCCGGAGCUGCUUUGAUAUACCUCAAUACCCUGUGAGCUGCUUGUAAAUGUAUAUCAGUAGGGCAAUCAAGAAACUGAGAUAGUUGUUGAAUAGCAUAGCUAAUGUCUGGCCUUGUGAUGGUCAAAUAUAAUAAUUUCCCCACAAGCUUCCUGUACUGAGUAACAUCUUCAAGCUUGUUGCCAAUGUGUCUACUAAACUUAACAGAUGUAACCAUGGGUGUUUUUACUGGCUUACAUUGUAAAAACCCUGUUUCUUCCAACAACUCCAAGUUUAGUUUUGUAGACCCAUUUGCAGCCUAUUGGCUCUUUGGCGGAGGGAAUAUCAGUGAGGAUCCAUGUAUUGUUGGCCUGCAAAGCACUGAUCUCAGCUUCCAUGGCCUGCCUCCAACACUCCUCUUUGAUGGCCUCAUUGUAGCUCUUAGGUUCUCUAGCAGUCAGGGCAUUCACAGCAAAGGCUUUGUACUCAUGUGACAGAUUAUCAUAGGAUAUAAAUUUGGAGAUAUCAUGUGGAGAUGUGUUCUUGGCAGCAACACUCUGACAAUUGUAAUCAUUAAGAUAAGUAGGUGUAGAUCUUACCCUGGCUGAUAUCCUAGGCUAGGGUAUUAAAGGUUCUGUAUCAGCAGGCACAUCCACCUGACUUGGUGCCAUAGGUUGAACUUCAGAGACCAUGGGAAUGUGCUCAUCAAUGUGUAAAUGUGUCACACUCUCAGAUGGCAGCACUAGAUCAAUAGGUUGAGCAUCAUGUGAAUUCUGAAAAGGAAACUUAUCUUCAUAAAAGGAAACAUCCCUGGAUAUCAUAAUCUCCUCUGUCUGUAUGUCAAAUAACUUGUAUCCCUUCACACCAUUAGCAAACCCCAAAAAAAUGCAUUUCCUAGCUCUUGGUGAAAACUUGUCUCUUUUACAGCUAGGGAUAACAGCAAAAGUCAGGCAGCCAAAUACUCUAAGAUGUUGAUACUUAGGCAUCUUAUCAAAAAGGAUUUGAUAAGGGAUUUGAUUGUUUAAAGUUGCUGAUGGGAGUCUAUUUAUUAUGUAGAUUGCAUGAAGGAUGCAAUCUCCCCAAAACUUCUCAGGCAGGCUGGCUUGGAACCUAAGAGCCCUUGCCACAGAUAGAAUGUGGCCAUGCUUUCUCUCAACAAUGCUAUUUUGUUGGGGAGUGUAUACACAAGAGGUUUGAUGUAUUAUGCCUUUACUUUGAUAGAAUUCUUUCAAUAGAAACUCAUUUCCAUUAUCAGAUCUUAUACAUUUUACAUUUUUCCCAAAUUGAGUGGUGACUUGCUCACAAAACCCCUGUAUAAGCUGUUGACUUCAUUUUUAUUUUUCAUGAGAUAAACCCAAGUCUCUCUACUAUGAUCAUCCACCAAGGUCAAGAAGUAUUGAUGACCAUAGAUGGUGGGAGUAUGAUAUGGUCCCAAGACAUCAGCAUGUAUAAGAUCAAAACAACUGUUUGAAAUUGAGAAGCUAGGCUAAAAAGGAAGCAUUCUUUGUUUAGCUAGGUGACAACAUUCACAAACAGUAGGCUUGUCAUUACAAACUGUAUUAUCUAAAGUGUGAAGAAACUUUAUUUUGCCUUCAGAGGCAUGACCCAACCUAGCAUGCCAUACACUACAAACAUUGACAGUAGGUUUACAAUGAGUAAAAGUGGGAAAAACCAGUUGGUACAGCCCUUUCUUCAGCUCAGCCAUACCAAUCAUCCUCCCAUGGUGUUGAUCCUGUAUAACACACUGAUUAGUAUGAAAUAGUAUACUGCAGCCUGACCCCCUUAUGAGUUCCCCUAGUGAGAUCAAAUUAUAGUGGAACAUGGGCACACAUAACACAUUCUGUAACACCAAAUCAGUAGACAAAUGCAUAGUCCCAAUAUGUGACACUUGUGCCUGGUGUCCAUUAGGUAAGUCUACAUGUAUUCCCUGCACUCUCUUGGAAACAUGUAAUAAAUGCAUACUACAAACAAUAUGGUGUGUAGCACCACUAUCAAGAAUCCACAAAGAUUUUGAAUCAUUAGAGUUAGCUGCUUUACCUUCCAUCUGAGCGUCAGAGAUAAAGUUUGCUGCUAUUGUGUUGGCAUGAGGAGUGGUAUCAAGGGGAGUAUUGCUGACCCUCUCCUUCUGCAUGAAUUCCAAGAACCUCUUGUUGUCCUCAUGAGUAGCAGGGGAAUUAUUUUCUAAACUGUCUGUCUCUUGCACAGAGGUCUGAAUUUGAUUAGCUGAUGCCACAUUUCUAUUUCUUGGCUUCCAACCGGGGGGUUACCAUGCUUUUUAUAGCAUCUUUCAAUGGUAUGCCCUGUAUAUCCACAAUAACUGCAUACAGGCCUUUGUUUUUGGUUGGGAAAGGAUCUCCUACUGUUAUUUUCUGACUUAGUAAAAAAGGCACUUGCCUCUGUAACAUCUCCCAGACUAUUAGAUCCAACACUGAUCUGUCUCUCUUGUUGUGAGAUCAUAGAAAAAGCUUCUCCAACAUCAGGAAGGGGUUUCAUCAACAUGAUUUGAUUUUUGGCAUGAACAUAGCUUUCAUUUAGGCCAAUAAGAAAAGAUGACAACAUAUCAUUUUCAAAAUGUGCCUUGACCAUUUCAGAUAGCUUAUUUCCACACUCACAGCUUGGGGAGCAUUUACAACCAGGGAUCGGUCUUAAAACAAGCAUUUCACCCCACAGCAGUUUCAGUUGUGUAAAAUACUCGUUUAUAAAUGAGUUACCUUGCUUGGUUUGGUGAAUCUGAGACUGGAUUUCUCCAAUGCGAAACACGUCUUGUUGACUGAAUCGCUUCUUCAAGUCCUUCCACACACCUUCUGCAGUGUUGAUCCAUAGUACACUUUGUCCUAUGGUAGGUGAAACAGCUCUGAGAAUCCAGGAUAGGACCAUUGUGUUGCACUGGUCCCAAUAGUAAUAUUUCUGAUCAAGUUCGCUUGGAAUCACCAUUGUUCCAUCUACAAUUCUUAAUUUGUUUUUGGAUCUCAACGCCAUUUCCAUGGCUCUCGCCCAGGGAUGGUAAUUCGACCUCCCUUCUAGACGCACAGUCACGAGUUGCAGAGCUGGACUUUCAUUGGGGUGAAGAUGAAGGGGGUUUGUUCGAUCAGCAGGAUCAAAGGCUCCAGUUGGGACGGGAACGGGCCUCGGAAUCGAAUUGGAGGUGCCUAUCUGAUUUCCGGCUUCAUCAACCUGCGGUGCGGACUGUCGAACCAUAUUAGCUGCCGGUGCACGCCACGCCAUUGUUUCUCUGCUCUGAUACCAUGUGAAGAAAGAGAGAGGGAAGCUAUGGCUAGAGGAAUGAGGAAGAAGAAUUAACAAAUCUAUUUUCACUGCUUCAAUGUUUACAGUUUACAGACUUUUUCUGAGGUUAAACUCAAGCAAUCCAUGUUCUUUAUGUGGUUGCAGUUGUUUCCAUAUCACCUUGAGGAGUAUAUAUGUUUGCCGCGUGAUGAGGGUGUCUCCUUUCAGAUACUACUGAGAUAUGAUAUUUGAAGUCAUGAAAAAUGGUAUCACUUCCUUGCUUGUAAUUUUAAAUGGUUUUACAAGUUCAGCAGUUUUGUAGUCAUAAUUCUAUGUAUAAGGUUUUCCAGGGUAGUGGUUACUCAAAUCUCCUUCAUUGGCUUUGGAGAGCAAUCUGCAACCUAAGGUGUGAAAAAUAGCACUUUAGCGCUGCUCAGUCCCAUAGUUGUUGCUCUCUUUCUCUCUCUUUUUAUUUUUAUUUUUAUUUUUGAGAUCAACUCAACUCAAUUAAGCCUAUUCCCAAUCCAGAUAGGUUGGCUUUAUUUCCUAUGAUGAUAUCAUAGAAAAACCAUUAGCACCUACAAACUGCAUUGCAUAUAAAGUUUCUCAAACAACCCCUUCAUUCAAGUUAAUUGUACAAAAAGGUUCAUUCAACUUUACUUUGGAAGAAUUUAAGAAACUGACAGAAGAAGAAAUGGCAACAAUUGAUAAAAUAUGUAAGGAGGAAGUGAAUUCCUUCAUUCUUUUUGACCCUGAAGUGAUAAAGGGACUUUAUCGACGGGGACUGGUCUAUUUUGAUGUUCCUGUCUAUCCCGAUGAUCGUUUUAAAGUUUCCAGGCUUGAAGGAUUUGUUUCAAAUAGGGAGCAACCCUAUGAAGAUCCUAUUGAAGAGUUGCUCUAUGCUGAAUUGGAAUUCCAAAGGAGGCCAAAUCCACGAGACCAUAUGAUAAACACUUGGGGUUGUCGAUAUUCAACAAUAAAUUUCUUUGCUCCUAUGAGUCGCUAUGCAAGUGCUGGUGGGGACCCGUUAAUGCUUCUAGGGAGUUCAAAGAAAUGGUCAAGGCUUUGCAUGAUGCGGGAAUAGAGGUCAUCUUAGAUGUUGUCUACAACCAUACAAAUGAAGCUGAUGACAAGAAUCCAUACACAACAUCAUUUCGUGGCAUUGACAACAAGCAUUUUUUGAAGAUACUUUUAUAGGUAUUUGGAACACUUUCAGAGUUGCUUCAGACCAUAGAGAUAAUCAAUACUGUCCAGAAAGUUAUUGCCGGUAAAGCACAGGAUAUGGUGAGGGUUAACUAGUCAUUUCCAGAACUUGGACUUGCGCUUACUGUCAAUCUCUGCAGGUAAAAUCUCCUAUAUUUGUUUUCCUUUGUAUUUGAAGUUGCUAUCUUAUGGAAUACAUUAUUGAAGCAGCUCCAAGGAAGAAGGCAGCAGCAGCUUCUGCUUGAAGUUCUUUGAGGGUGAAUCUAUGAAGUUUAGAUCAAGUUCUUUAGUUAGGCAAUCUAAUUAGACAUGUCUGGUUUCCACUCGGAUCACUUGUUGCAAAU